RNAcentral lists this small RNA (121 nucleotides) under Kitasatospora aureofaciens. Its description in RNAcentral is "Streptomyces aureofaciens Streptomyces-metH RNA". It matches the Rfam family "Streptomyces-metH RNA". Lineage: Bacteria; Bacillati; Actinomycetota; Actinomycetes; Kitasatosporales; Streptomycetaceae. The record is from Rfam by way of RNAcentral.
GCGCUCAGGAUACGGAAUGGGCCCGCGUAGCGGCCCGUGGGCCGGAUACCCUGGCGGCGUGCGGGCCCGACGAAGCGGGUUCGCAAAGCCGACAGCCGUCGCACCAGGGAGACGCCCCAUG